RNAcentral lists this ribosomal RNA (222 nucleotides) under Triticum aestivum (bread wheat). Its description in RNAcentral is "partial small subunit ribosomal RNA". Lineage: Eukaryota; Viridiplantae; Streptophyta; Magnoliopsida; Poales; Poaceae. The record is from RNAcentral.
AUGUUAGUGUGGAACUACAGGGGGAACCGCCGGACAGUCUGUGAGGUUUUGGCCCUCUCUAAAGCCAAUUCCCCGGGACUUGUUUUUUGUUUGGAAACAAUACAAGCCUCAACAAAGAUGGAGAAACUCAAGUGGAGGUUACAGAUGAAGGGUUUUGCCAGUGUGUCUAGUGAUGGGCUCAGUGGAGGGCUUGCACUGUACUAGGACGAAAAGCUUCAAGUG